RNAcentral lists this ribosomal RNA (392 nucleotides) under uncultured bacterium. Its description in RNAcentral is "partial 16S ribosomal RNA". It matches the Rfam family "Bacterial small subunit ribosomal RNA", at positions 523 to 918 of the family's 1533-position model. The record is from RNAcentral.
CUACGUAUGUCGCAAGCGUUAUCCGGAUUUAUUGGGCGUAAAGCGCGUCUAGGCGGCUUAGUAAGUCUGAUGUGAAAAUGCGGGGCUCAACCCCGUAUUGCGUUGGAAACUGCUAAACUAGAGUACUGGAGAGGUAGGCGGAACUACAAGUGUAGAGGUGAAAUUCGUAGAUAUUUGUAGGAAUGCCGAUGGGGAAGCCAGCCUACUAGACAGAUACUGACGCUAAAGCGCGAAAGCGUGGGUAGCAAACAGGAUUAGAUACCCUGGUAGUCCACGCCGUAAACGAUGAUUACUAGGUGUUGGGGGUCGAACCUCAGCGCCCAAGCUAACGCGAUAAGUAAUCCGCCUGGGGAGUACGUACGCAAGUAUGAAACUCAAAUGAAUUGACGGGG